RNAcentral lists this ribosomal RNA (405 nucleotides) under uncultured Eubacteriales bacterium. RNAcentral describes it as "uncultured Clostridiales bacterium partial 16S ribosomal RNA". It matches the Rfam family "Bacterial small subunit ribosomal RNA", at positions 355 to 774 of the family's 1533-position model. Lineage: Bacteria; Bacillati; Bacillota; Clostridia; Eubacteriales. The record is from RNAcentral.
UGGGGAAUAUUGCACAAUGGGCGCAAGCCUGAUGCAGCAACGCCGCGUGAAGGAAGAAGGUCUUCGGAUCGUAAACUUCUAUCGACAGGGAAGAAAGAAAUGACGGUACCUGAAUAAGAAGCCCCGGCUAACUACGUGCCAGCAGCCGCGGUAAUACGUAGGGGGCAAGCGUUAUCCGGAAUUACUGGGUGUAAAGGGUGAGUAGGCGGUUAGGUAAGUCAUAUGUGAAAUCCCGGUUCUUAAGGCCGGGACUGCAUAAGAAACUAUCUGACUAGAGUACAGGAGAGGUAAGUGGAAUUUCUAGUGUAGCGGUGAAAUGCGUAGAUAUUAGGAAGAACACCAGUGGCGAAGGCGGCUUACUGGACUGAAACUGACGCUGAGUCACGAAAGCGUGGGGAGCAAACA